Molecule: unclassified non-coding RNA, 240 nt
Filed under: soil metagenome
Description: partial contains 5.8S ribosomal RNA, internal transcribed spacer 2, and large subunit ribosomal RNA
Source: RNAcentral
AACAUCGCGCACCUGCGGGAACCUGCGGAAGGAUCAUUACCGAGUUUACAACUCCCAAACCCAAUGUGAACCAUACCAAACUGUUGCCUCGGCGGGGUCACGCCCCGGGUGCGUCGCAGCCCCGGAACCAGGCGCCCGCCGGAGGGACCAACCAAACUCUUUUCUGUAGUCCCCUCGCGGACGUUAUUUCUUACAGCUCUGAGCAAAAAUUCAAAAUGAAUCAAAACUUUCAACAACGGA